This 1113-nucleotide long non-coding RNA is filed under the name Cyanoderma ruficeps (rufous-capped babbler). RNAcentral describes it as "lncRNA (ENSCRFG00000001631.1)". The record is from RNAcentral. Lineage: Eukaryota; Metazoa; Chordata; Aves; Passeriformes; Timaliidae.
AAAAACAAAAAGAAACCCGCUUUCCUUUGUGGAUCUGCCCUCGGAUCUGCCGGGGAUCGGCCACAAACGUGGAAUAAUUAAUAUGGAAUGAUAAACAAAUGAGGAGCAGAGCGUGGCCUGGCCCCGGGGCGGCUCCCAAGGGAAGGCCACAGCCACGGCUCUUCCCAAAAACCCACCAGGUCCCUGCAGAUUUUGGGGCUCCCGGGCUCAUCCAGGAGCAGAAAAGCCACCGGGAUGCGCUGGAGAUUCCCAGAACCUGUCGGGAAUCUCAGGAUGCGAAUCCGAGCUCCGGAGCGGGGAGCUGGCUGGGGAAGGGACGGGAUCCUGCGGCAGCUCCUCCCAAACCCCGCUCCUGUCGGGGGGCAGCCCCCGAAAUGUCGGUGGGGAGCCGGGAGCGGCGGCCCCGGUGGGUUUGGAUCCCGCCUGGGAUGCGGGAACAGCGGGAUAACGGCGCUGCCCCCAGGACGGGGAAUUUCGGGAGCUGCUCCGAGCUGGGAACGGCCAAACUCAUCCCUGGCGCGGGGAAUCGCGUGUCCCCAAUCCCGGGAUUCCCGCUUGGAGCCCGGAGCCAUCCCGGAGCCGGGGGGCAGCGGCUGCCCCGGGGCUUUCCCGGGAAGGACCGGAUCGUCCGUCAGGGAACAUCCCGGGGGGAUCGGGAACGGCCCGGGCGGAGAAGGGAGCGGCUCGAGGGCCGUGACCGCGGGGGGACCGCGGGGGGACGGGAGCCCCCUCCCCGUGUCCCACCGGAGUGUCCGGGACACCGGGGCCGGGGCUGCGUGGUGGUCCUGGGGUGGCCACCGAGGUGACAGCGGGGCCGGGGGUCCCUGGGGGGCUCGGGGGGGGGUCGGGCGAUGCCCAGGUCACCCCAGGUCACCCCAGGUCACCCCGGACCUACCUAAGGGUGGUGGGGGGCAGGGCGAGCUCCGCGCGACCCGGAAAUCCCCAAUUCCCGAUGUCCCGGCCCGGAGAUUCCCGGGGUCCCGGCCCGGAGAUUCCCGGGGUCCCAGCCCGGAGAUUCCCUGUGUCCCGGCCCGGAGAUUCCCGGUUCCCCAACCCGGACAUUCCCGGUGUCCCGGCCCGGAGAUUCCCGGUUCCCGGGGUCCCGGCCCCGCG